Small nuclear RNA from Erinaceus europaeus (western European hedgehog), 109 nucleotides. Lineage: Eukaryota; Metazoa; Chordata; Mammalia; Eulipotyphla; Erinaceidae. The record is from Ensembl.
AUUUUCACUUUGAUAAGACAUAUACUAUAGCUGGAACAAUACAGAGAAGAUAUUAGCAUGGUCCUGGCACAAGAAUGACAUGUGAACGUGUGAAGUGUUCCAUAGAUAU